This 71-nucleotide transfer RNA is filed under the name Candidatus Pacearchaeota archaeon. RNAcentral describes it as "tRNA-Gly". It matches the Rfam family "tRNA". From Rfam's summary of the family: Transfer RNA (tRNA) molecules are approximately 80 nucleotides in length. Their secondary structure includes four short double-helical elements and three loops (D, anti-codon, and T loops). Lineage: Archaea; Nanobdellati. The record is from RNAcentral.
GCGAUCAUAGUUAAGUGGUAUAACGUCUCGUUGCCAACGAGGAGUUUCGGGUCCGAUUCCCGAUGGUCGCA